GGGGAGGUUCCCGAGCGGUCAAAGGGAACAGACUGUAAAUCUGUCGCCGAAGGCUUCGGAGGUUCGAAUCCUCCCCUCCCCACCA
RNAcentral lists this transfer RNA (85 nucleotides) under Deltaproteobacteria bacterium. Its description in RNAcentral is "tRNA-Tyr". It matches the Rfam family "tRNA". From Rfam's summary of the family: Transfer RNA (tRNA) molecules are approximately 80 nucleotides in length. Their secondary structure includes four short double-helical elements and three loops (D, anti-codon, and T loops). The record is from RNAcentral. Lineage: Bacteria; Pseudomonadati; Myxococcota; Myxococcia. RNAcentral also lists the same sequence under 2 other names.